GUGCUCGCUUCAGCAGCACACAUACUAAAAUUGGAACACUCCAGAGAAGAUUAACAUGGCCUCUGUGCAAGGAUGAUACGCACUUUCGUAAAGUGUUCCAUAUUCUU
This is a small nuclear RNA of Camelus dromedarius (Arabian camel), 107 nucleotides long. The record is from Ensembl. Lineage: Eukaryota; Metazoa; Chordata; Mammalia; Artiodactyla; Camelidae.